CACAAAACACUGUUCAGCUUUGAAUUUAAACUGCAUCAAUUUACUGUUUGUCCCUUUAUAAUGUUAUAUGCAAGCAGGGUCAUCAUCUGUGUCACAUUCUCCAUUUAUUUUGAACAAUUGCUUUUAGAAUCAGAACUAGGUACUGAUGCCCCAACGUUCCAUUAGUUGAUUUGUUUGUUGAUGCAUUUUUUGUCUUCAUUUGGUUGUAUUUUUCAAGCAGUUUAAAUCCAACAUUCAUCUUGACUCUCUCAUACUGUUCAGUAAAAGACCUCAUUCCGGGAUUUUCCGUUGCAAGUCUUCUGUAUUUUGUAAAACUUAACUUCUUCACCAGUUCCUAGAAUUGUAUCAACCAGUGUUGUUGUUAUUUUGUC
Molecule: long non-coding RNA, 371 nt
Organism: Mytilus californianus (California mussel)
Lineage: Eukaryota; Metazoa; Mollusca; Bivalvia; Mytilida; Mytilidae
Exons: 2
Source: RefSeq, a predicted model, not a curated record